RNAcentral lists this ribosomal RNA (493 nucleotides) under Parartemia serventyi. Its description in RNAcentral is "partial 16S ribosomal RNA". It matches the Rfam family "Archaeal large subunit ribosomal RNA", at positions 1924 to 2666 of the family's 2987-position model. Lineage: Eukaryota; Metazoa; Arthropoda; Branchiopoda; Anostraca; Branchipodidae. The record is from RNAcentral.
AGCCUUUCAUGUUUGUAAGGUGAUGCCUGCCCACUGAAGGUUUUAAGGGCCGUGGUAUUCUGACCAUGCAAAGGUAGCAUAAUCAUUUGCCUUCUAAUUAGGGGCUAGAAUGAACGGCUUCACGAGAGAUUUUCUGUCUCGGUCGUUAAAAGCGAAGUUAAUGUUUAAGUGAAAAAGCUUAAAUGUUCUUGGAGGACGAUAAGACCCUAUAGAUCUUUACAUCUAAUUCCUUUUAGGGCGGCGGUCAUUCUGAGUGGNCAAAUGAUGUUUCGUUGGGGCGACGGUGGGAGUAGAAAAAACUCCUAUGAGUUAGAACGGAGAUGUCCGACUUUUGAUCCAGGCGAUGAAUUAAGAGUAAGUUACCUUAGGGAUAACAGCGUAAUUCUUUUUGAGAGACCAAAUCGACAAAAGAGUUUGCGACCUCGAUGUUGGUUCAGGGAACCUUACUAGCGCAGCAGCAAGUUGAGGCAGUCUGUUCGACUAUUAAUCCCCU